GGUGGUUCAGUGGUAGAAUGCUCGCCUGCCACGCGGGCGGCCCGGGUUCGAUUCCCGGAUUAAAACU
Cordylochernes scorpioides is the source of this 67-nucleotide non-coding RNA. Lineage: Eukaryota; Metazoa; Arthropoda; Arachnida; Pseudoscorpiones; Chernetidae. The record is from the annotation of a GenBank genome assembly.